RNAcentral lists this long non-coding RNA (615 nucleotides) under Panax ginseng (ginseng). RNAcentral describes it as "long non-coding RNA (PGIN_LNC007098)". The record is from RNAcentral. Lineage: Eukaryota; Viridiplantae; Streptophyta; Magnoliopsida; Apiales; Araliaceae.
UGAACUUUAGUAAACUAAAGUUUACUAACAAAACCAAAUUUUCAUUCUAUUGAUUUUAAAAACCAUACAACAACCAUAUUACACUUACAUGAAUCAAAAUAAAUUGAUUACAAAGAGAGUUCAUUGAAAAUUACAUAAUAAAUUACUAAACUCCCUUAAAUUGGUGUUUAGCACCCAAAAUUCUACAUACUCAAAUACUUUAACAAAAUUCAAAUUUAUAUAAGAAUUUUAUACCUUAUACUUUCCAACUUCAAGUAAUCCAAGCUUUGAUCUUCUUUACUUAUUGAAAUCUUGUUUCUACUUUGCCCAAGCUAUCUCUAACUCACCAUUUCUUCACUUAAUCUUACUUGGAAAAUUUUCAAAAUUCACCCAAAUUGGAGAAGCGAGGCCACGGUUUUGGAAGGGAAGGAGGAGAAGACUUUUAGCAAUUUCCCAAGUCAAAUAUUCUUGGUGCCUAAGUUUUCUUUGUGAGUAAACUUCACAAUUCCUCCUCCUCUCUCUUUUCACGGCAAAGAAAAAUUGGAAUGGCUUGGAGAGGUUGGUUAGCUUGUAACAGUAAAUUAGUUAAUAAGGAAUAACCCAAAUUAACUUAAUUUAUUAAAUCACCCAAAUAAC